GGAUUAGAUACCCUGGUAGUCCACGCCGUAAACGAUGUCUACUAGCCGUUGGGAAUCUAGUUAUUCUUAGUGGCGCAGCUAACGCACUAAGUAGACCGCCUGGGGAGUACGGCCGCAAGGUUAAAACUCAAAUGAAUUGACGGGGGCCCGCACAAGCGGUGGAGCACGUGGUUUAAUUCGAUGCAACGCGAAGAACCUUACCAUCUCUUGACAUCCUGCGAACUUGGUAGAGAUACCUUGGUGCCUUCGGGAGCGCAGUGACAGGUGCUGCAUGGCUGUCGUCAGCUCGUGUUG
This 294-nucleotide ribosomal RNA is filed under the name uncultured bacterium. RNAcentral describes it as "partial 16S ribosomal RNA". It matches the Rfam family "Bacterial small subunit ribosomal RNA", at positions 775 to 1067 of the family's 1533-position model. The record is from RNAcentral.